UCAUCAAUUAGUGAAGGUUUAUUUAGAGUGAAAGAGAGUAAUUAAUCACUUUUCUGCAUCCAUAUUUUGUAAAGGGUGAAUUAUUUGUUAUUAGUGUUUUUGCUCAUUUGUUGUAGAAAAUUAUAUUUUAUAUUAGAUUGUUUAUGAAAUUUAUAUUAUGAAGUAUUAGUUUGCCUAAUCUAUAGGUUAUUGUCUAUUUUUUCCCUAAUUUUUAGCUAUUUUUGGAA
Molecule: unclassified non-coding RNA, 227 nt
Filed under: Hevea brasiliensis (rubber tree)
Lineage: Eukaryota; Viridiplantae; Streptophyta; Magnoliopsida; Malpighiales; Euphorbiaceae
Source: RNAcentral